Molecule: ribosomal RNA, 323 nt
Filed under: uncultured Pseudomonas sp.
Lineage: Bacteria; Pseudomonadati; Pseudomonadota; Gammaproteobacteria; Pseudomonadales; Pseudomonadaceae
Description: bacterial SSU rRNA
Rfam family: Bacterial small subunit ribosomal RNA
Source: RNAcentral
UCGUGUCGUGAGAUGUUGGGUUAAGUCCCGUAACGAGCGCAACCCUUGUCUUAGUUACCAGCACGUUAUGGUGGGCGACUCUAAGGAGACUGCCGGUGACAAACCGGAGGAAGGUGGGGAUGACGUCAAGUCAUCAUGGCCCUUACGGCCUGGGCUACACACGUGCUACAAUGGUCGGUACAAAGGGUUGCCAAGCCGCGAGGUGGAGCUAAUCCCAUAAGACCGAUCGUAGUCCGGAUCGCAGUCUGCAACUCGACUGCGUGAAGUCGGAAUCGCUAGUAAUCGUGAAUCAGAAUGUCACGGUGAAUACGUUCCCGGGCCUU